AUUUAUAUAGUUUAAAUAAAACAUAAUAUUGAAGAUAUUAAAAUGAAUUUUGUUCUUUAAAUA
RNAcentral lists this transfer RNA (63 nucleotides) under Dryocosmus liui. RNAcentral describes it as "tRNA-Phe". Lineage: Eukaryota; Metazoa; Arthropoda; Insecta; Hymenoptera; Cynipidae. The record is from RNAcentral.